RNAcentral lists this ribosomal RNA (1009 nucleotides) under bacterium RK23_tank. RNAcentral's name for it is "bacterial SSU rRNA". It matches the Rfam family "Bacterial small subunit ribosomal RNA", at positions 327 to 1350 of the family's 1533-position model. The record is from RNAcentral.
CGGCCCAGACUCCUACGGGAGGCAGCAGUGGGGAAUAUUGCACAAUGGGCGCAAGCUGAUGCAGCGACGCCGCGUGAGGGAUGACGGCUUCGGGUUGUAAACCUCUUUCACCAGGGACGAAGCUAACGUGACGGUACCUGGAGAAGAAGCACCGGCCAACUACGUGCCAGCAGCCGCGGUAAUACGUAGGGUGCGAGCGUUGUCCGGAAUUACUGGGCGUAAAGAGCUCGUAGGCGGUUUGUCGCGUCGUCUGUGAAAUUCUGCAACUCAAUUGCAGGCGUGCAGGCGAUACGGGCAGACUUGAGUACUACAGGGGAGACUGGAAUUCCUGGUGUAGCGGUGAAAUGCGCAGAUAUCAGGAGGAACACCGGUGGCGAAGGCGGGUCUCUGGGUAGUAACUGACGCUGAGGAGCGAAAGCGUGGGUAGCGAACAGGAUUAGAUACCCUGGUAGUCCACGCCGUAAACGGUGGGUACUAGGUGUGGGGCUCAUUUCACGAGUUCCGUGCCGUAGCUAACGCAUUAAGUACCCCGCCUGGGGAGUACGGCCGCAAGGCUAAAACUCAAAGGAAUUGACGGGGGCCCGCACAAGCGGCGGAGCAUGUGGAUUAAUUCGAUGCAACGCGAAGAACCUUACCUGGGUUUGACAUACACCAGACGCGGUCAGAGAUGGUCGUUCCCUUGUGGUUGGUGUACAGGUGGUGCAUGGCUGUCGUCAGCUCGUGUCGUGAGAUGUUGGGUUAAGUCCCGCAACGAGCGCAACCCUUGUCCUGUAUUGCCAGCGGGUUAUGCCGGGGACUUGCAGGAGACUGCCGGGGUCAACUCGGAGGAAGGUGGGGAUGACGUCAAGUCAUCAUGCCCCUUAUGUCCAGGGCUUCACACAUGCUACAAUGGCCGGUACAGAGGGCUGCGAUACCGUGAGGUGGAGCGAAUCCCUUAAAGCCGGUCUCAGUUCGGAUCGGGGUCUGCAACUCGACCCCGUGAAGUCGGAGUCGCUAGUAAUCGCAGAUC